GUGGUUGUGUUAAGGUCUGGAAACAACCUGCUUUAGUUCAUUAAAAGUUCAUCCUUCCUGAAUAAAAUAACAUGCUGUCAUGUCGCUCAGUCUUGAAUACAGGGUUUAUUGUUGUUUCUGGGAUGUUCAUGUUCUUUAGUUUUAUAUCUUUGAUCAUCUUUGCAUUAUGGUUCUGUAUUCUGUGUUGCUUUCUGUAAUUUCUUACUUUUCACUGGUUUUCUUUCACUUAACUCAUAUAUAAGUUUGUUUGGUUUAUUUCUUGCCUUUAGUGCUGUGCUCCUGUUUAACAGUUCUUUAUGCUCAUUCUGUGUGUUUGGUUUUGAGAUGGGAUUUAUGUUUGAGCUGUUUAUAGUCUAAUGUUUACGUUCCUGUUAUCUGUGACUUUAGUCCCCUGACUGUUGAUGGUAGGUUGUUUUUCCCACUUGCAUUCCAAUUGCGUCCCUCCGAUCUUGUCUCCAUGUUUGUUUAUCCUCUCUGUGUAUCAAGUUCAUAUGACUUAGUCCUGGUCUCAUUGUUUGCUAUUUGCUGUCUUAUUUCAAUAGUCUCUGACUGCUAGUGCUUUGUAUUUAGUUCUGCUUCCCUUGUCUCUUCUUCUGUGAUUGGUUUCAGCUGCUCUUCCACCUCUUGCAUUGUUCCUUCAUUAUGCUGUAUGUAUAUGUUGUAUCAGUUUCCCUUUGCUGUUUGUCGUGUUCUUCCUAAUGUUCUUAUGUCCCUGUCCCAGGACCACCCAGCACAAAUGUUCUCGAGUAUAUUUUUUUUAGAAGGUUUCUAGUUGUUAGACUAUUUGCUCCUGACCUGCUUUUUUUGAUUUUGUAAGAGUAAUAAAUAAACUUUUAAGUUUAUUCUUUAUCUUCUGAGUCCUGUAUUUUGGGUACAACUGCUGCCACACAGCUCGUUCCUGACAUAUAGCUAUGGUCGUGGUCAUGAUUGUAACUUCACUGAACAACUGUUUUCACUGACUUUUAGUAGGAAGUAGAAUAUGAAGUUCAGCCUCUUGUGUCAAAGUUCAACAUUUGGUUGUUGUUGUGGAAAAGCAUCAAACUACCUUCCCUCUUUUCUUUUGUCCCAUUACUACACAUCUACAGGAUUUCUUGUCUUCAAAACAAACAAUUUAGUUUUAAGAAAUGCUAAUGGCAUUUAUUUAUUUUUAUUUUAUUUUUUUCACAGACAGCAAAUGAGUGCAUUUUUUUUUUACCAUGUAAUGAAAUGUAAUGAUAGUUUGUGGACUUUUCCAACAAAAACAACUGAAAAUAUUAAUCUUUUGGACUUGCACUUAGGCAACCUUAUUUUUGCUUUGUUUUUGUUUUUUGUUUUUUAUUGUGAAGACUUUGUGAUCCUUUUAUUAACAGGUGUUAUAUGAAUAGAGUUUUACUUACUUUUCAAUUCAUCUUAGUAUUUAAUGCUCCGUGUGGUUCUUAGUUUAUUUAUUCUUGGUUAACAUUUGUUCAAGUAGCUUGAGUCUCAUGUCUAGUUAAGGUUAUUUGGUUUAGUCUUUUGUUCUUUUUCCUUCCCUUCUCUGUCAAGUUCGUAUGUUAGUCAUUGUCUCAGUACUUAGUGUCCGCCAUGAUAUGUUGAGCUAAUCUCUAUUGUUAUUUGGAUUGGGUUUAGUUUUUUUACUCAGACAUCACACUUUCCACAUUGAAUCCAUUAUGACAGAACAAUGUGAGCAAAUAAUAGACCAGCAGCCUUCAACCCCUCAGAAGUGAUAAAGAGAGUCAUUUUUUGUGUGGUGGUGCCACGUGAGGAAGGGCUGGUGGGGUCUAGCGAGGAGUACAAAGAAGUAGUAGCGCAUAAGUAACACAGCCUGAUUUCAGGGAUUCAAU
Astatotilapia calliptera (eastern happy) is the source of this 1823-nucleotide long non-coding RNA. Lineage: Eukaryota; Metazoa; Chordata; Actinopteri; Cichliformes; Cichlidae. The record is from Ensembl.